UUAAGGUUUCAGUUAAGUAGUACUCCUAGUUAAAGACUUUUGAUCUAGGGCGAGCACUAUUACAGUUGAAGGGCGAGCACUAUUACAGUUGUAGUUUACCCUAUCCAAAGAGGUCGUGACUGGCCCUCAGGGAUUUCUCUGUUAUCAAAAAAGAAAAAGUUACUCCUAGAAUCUUUUUUUCCUCCAAUAUGAAGUAGGUGUGUUUUUCUCCUUUUUGUAUAAAGAAAACUCAGAUAUAUAUAGUGAUAAUGAUAUACAUGCUAUAUU
RNAcentral lists this long non-coding RNA (267 nucleotides) under Nicotiana benthamiana. Its description in RNAcentral is "long non-coding RNA (NBEN_LNC038616)". The record is from RNAcentral. Lineage: Eukaryota; Viridiplantae; Streptophyta; Magnoliopsida; Solanales; Solanaceae.